UUAAUAGGAAGAGUUAUUAGUACAAACCAUACUAGCAUCAACAUAUAAUAAAUCCAAAAGAGCAGAUGGAGGAUUAUUAACCCAAUUUCGAAGAGGGUACCCGAUACGUUGAGCUUUAGCUAGCCAGUCAGCUACUUUGUUUGUUUCUCGAUUACAGUGGGCUAAAGUGAUACCUGAAGAUUCUUCCAUCUUGCGCUUGGCCCGGUCCACCAAAGGCUGAAUCUCCCAAUUAAGGGUAUCUGAAGAUAGAAUCGCAGCCACUAGUGUAGUACAAUCGGAAUGUAUGAUUAUCUCUCGUUCUGAUCUUUUCGGGGCAAUCUUUGAGGAGACAAAGUCUAGGGUUUCUACCAACGCUUGUGCCUCUGCUAGUUCAGCUGAUUUCGCCUCGAUAGAUUUAGUAAACCCAUUAAUGAUCCUUCCAAAAGUGUCCCUGCAAACACAAGCCACAGCUGCAGAAUAGGGGCGAUGCUGCUGUGAGUUUGAAGCGCUGCCAUCUUCG
RNAcentral lists this long non-coding RNA (499 nucleotides) under Eucalyptus grandis. RNAcentral's name for it is "long non-coding RNA (EGRA_LNC007893)". Lineage: Eukaryota; Viridiplantae; Streptophyta; Magnoliopsida; Myrtales; Myrtaceae. The record is from RNAcentral.